RNAcentral lists this unclassified non-coding RNA (221 nucleotides) under Hevea brasiliensis (rubber tree). Lineage: Eukaryota; Viridiplantae; Streptophyta; Magnoliopsida; Malpighiales; Euphorbiaceae. The record is from RNAcentral.
AAUCAAGCCUCACAGCCGGUUGACUAUCAUUCAAAUACUGAGAAUCCUUGCUUCUGUUAAUAAUGAAAACAAGGUGAACCACAGGAAAAUUGAUUGUUUUUAUCUUUGUGAUUUGGUUUCAAAUGUGAAAAUCUCAACUUGUUAGCUAUCUUAUAUUUUGUGGUAGCGUGCAGGAAAAGAUGGCAGAUGUUGGAUCUUUAUCACUAUUGGUGAAAUCUUUG